CACAAACACAACACAUGACGGACUAUCCCGUUACUAUCAAAUAAUAUGGGACUUCACCCCCAUACACAAACACAACACAUGACGGACUAUCCCGUUACUAUCAAAUAACAUGGGACUUCACCCCCAUACACAAACACAACACAUGACGGACUAUCCCGUUACUAUCAAAUUAUAUGGGACUUCAUCCCCAUACACAAACACAACACAUGACGGACUACAUCCCGUUACUAUCAAAUUAUAUGGGACUUCAUCCCCAUACACAAACACAACACAUGACGGACUAUCCCGUUACUAUCAAAUAAUAUGGGACUUCACCCCAUACACAAACACAACACAUGAUGGAUUAUCCCGUUACUAUCAAAUAAUAGGGGACUUCACCCCCAUACACAAACACAACACAUGACGGACUAUCCUGUUACUAUCAAGUGACUUCACCCCCAUACACAAACACAACACAUGGCGGACUAUCCUGUUACUAUCAAAUUAUAUGGGACUUCAGCCCCAUACACAAACACAACACAUGACAGACUACAUCCCGUUACUAUCAGAUAAUAUGGGACUUCAACCCCCAUACACAAACACAACAGAUGACGGACUACAUCCCGUUGCCAUGGGGGGCAGUGUUAUUACCCCGCUUCCCGGAACAUUAUCAUUUUCACCCGCAUUCUCCACAUCACAAUAUAUUCUUAUACACAUGGCAUAUCAUUUACUUUUACAUUACGUACAUUUUAUCACAUUAUGUACUAUAAAAGAAAGGAGACAUAUGAAAGAGCGC
This 775-nucleotide long non-coding RNA is filed under the name Daucus carota (carrot). Its description in RNAcentral is "long non-coding RNA (DCAR_LNC003147)". Lineage: Eukaryota; Viridiplantae; Streptophyta; Magnoliopsida; Apiales; Apiaceae. The record is from RNAcentral.